AACAAACCAAUAUUUCACUUUUUACCUAUAAUAUUUGACUCUUAGUCUUAUUAAAAAUAAUUAUGAUUGACAUUUUGUUUUUAUUAGAUGAUAAAUUAUGAAUAGUACUUUACAUGUGACUAAUGUUUUUUUGAUUUCUUACAAAAAUUUAAAUAAGAUGGAUGGUUAAACGCUGGACAUGGAAACCGAAAGAUUAGUUUGUU
This 203-nucleotide microRNA precursor is filed under the name Oryza brachyantha (malo sina). RNAcentral's name for it is "MIR812 microRNA precursor family". It matches the Rfam family "MIR812 microRNA precursor family". The record is from Rfam by way of RNAcentral. Lineage: Eukaryota; Viridiplantae; Streptophyta; Magnoliopsida; Poales; Poaceae.